GACGAACGCUGGCGGCGUGCCUAAUACAUGCAAGUGGGACGCAAGGGAACACACUGUGCUUGCACACCGUGUUUUCUUGAGUCGCGAACGGGUGAGUAACGCGUAGGUAACCUGCCUAUUAGCGGGGGAUAACUAUUGGAAACGAUAGCUAAUACCGCAUAAUAUUAAUUAUUGCAUGAUAAUUGAUUGAAAGAUGCAAGCGCAUCACUAGUAGAUGGACCUGCGUUGUAUUAGCUAGUUGGUAAGGUAAGAGCUUACCAAGGCGACGAUACAUAGCCGACCUGAGAGGGUGAUCGGCCACACUGGGACUGAGACACGGCCCAGACUCCUACGGGAGGCAGCAGUAGGGAAUCUUCGGCAAUGGACGAAAGUCUGACCGAGCAACGCCGCGUGAGUGAAGAAGGUUUUCGGAUCGUAAAGCUCUGUUGUAAGUCAAGAACGUGUGUGAGAGUGGAAAGUCAC
RNAcentral lists this ribosomal RNA (462 nucleotides) under Streptococcus mutans. RNAcentral describes it as "bacterial SSU rRNA". It matches the Rfam family "Bacterial small subunit ribosomal RNA", at positions 28 to 467 of the family's 1533-position model. The record is from RNAcentral. Lineage: Bacteria; Bacillati; Bacillota; Bacilli; Lactobacillales; Streptococcaceae.